CUGCAAGUGGCAUCGUAAGGACCCGAUUCUGACAAUUUUUUUCAGCCGUCGACUUAGGAGCGUAAGUUGAGUUAUUCAGAUUUUCAAUUUUAAUUUUUUCCGGCAAAUCUGUUUCGAACGCCCGCAAAUGACCUAUCUAUCUUGAAU
This is a long non-coding RNA of Cydia splendana, 147 nucleotides long. RefSeq lists it as uncharacterized. The record is from RefSeq and is a predicted model, not a curated record. Lineage: Eukaryota; Metazoa; Arthropoda; Insecta; Lepidoptera; Tortricidae. The transcript is spliced from 2 exons.